CUCACACUGCAGGUUCGCCUCACACACUUCACGCAGACUGCAGACAGAGAAAGAAGGGAAUUGGGGGAAAGAAACCACCAAAGUACACAUGAUACAUCAGAGCAGGUCCCUAAGCUCUGCAGUGCUGCAGUGUGCGGUGAUCACAUGACCUAAUGCUGCAGGAUUCAAAUGACUAUGCGAGGGAGUUUCUGUUUUCUGCUCUGACAUUGCGGCUCAGAUGGCUGAAGAUGAGAGACUUUAAUGGGAAUGUAACAGUAACCCCACCCCAAAGGAAUCUGGGAUGACAGAGGAAUGAGGAUGACAGCUACAGCCACCACCCAUGCUUCUUCUUGGGACAAGACAUCUUGGGGUAA
Pygocentrus nattereri (red-bellied piranha) is the source of this 353-nucleotide long non-coding RNA. RefSeq lists it as uncharacterized. The record is from RefSeq and is a predicted model, not a curated record. Lineage: Eukaryota; Metazoa; Chordata; Actinopteri; Characiformes; Serrasalmidae. The transcript is spliced from 3 exons.